AUUGAACGCUGGCGGAAUGCUUUACACAUGCAAGUCGAACGGCAGCACGGGGCAACCUGGUGGCGAGUGGCGAACGGGUGAGUAAUACAUCGGAACGUGCCCAAUCGUGGGGGAUAACGUAGCGAAAGUUACGCUAAUACCGCAUACGAUCUACGGAUGAAAGCGGGGGAUCGCAAGACCUCGCGCGAAUGGAGCGGCCGAUGUCAGAUUAGGUAGUUGGUGGGGUAAAGGCUCACCAAGCCGACGAUCUGUAGCUGGUCUGAGAGGACGACCAGCCACACUGGGACUGAGACACGGCCCAGACUCCUACGGGAGGCAGCAGUGGGGAAUUUUGGACAAUGGGGGGCAACCCUGAUCCAGCCAUGCCGCGUGAGUGAAGAAGGCCU
This 386-nucleotide ribosomal RNA is filed under the name uncultured bacterium. RNAcentral describes it as "bacterial SSU rRNA". It matches the Rfam family "Bacterial small subunit ribosomal RNA", at positions 29 to 417 of the family's 1533-position model. The record is from RNAcentral.